RNAcentral lists this ribosomal RNA (432 nucleotides) under uncultured bacterium. RNAcentral's name for it is "partial 16S ribosomal RNA". It matches the Rfam family "Bacterial small subunit ribosomal RNA", at positions 338 to 795 of the family's 1533-position model. The record is from RNAcentral.
CCUACGGGAGGCUGCAGUAAGGAAUAUUGGUCAAUGGAGGCAACUCUGAACCAGCCAUGCCGCGUGCAGGAAGACGGCCUAUGGGUUGUAAACUGCUUUUAUCUGGGAAUAUGUACCAGAAGAAUAAGGAUCGGCUAACUCAGUGCCAGCAGCCGCGGGAAUACGGAGGAUCCAAGCGUUAUCCGGAUUUAUUGGGUUUAAAGGGUGCGUAGGCGGCCUAUUAAGUCAGAGGUGAAAGACGGUAGCUCAACUAUCGCAGUGCCUUUGAUACUGAUGGGCUUGAAUAAACUAGAGGUAGGCGGAAUGAGACAAGUAGCGGUGAAAUGCAUAGAUAUGUCUCAGAACACCGAUUGCGAAGGCAGCUUACUAUGGUUUAUUGACGCUGAGGCACGAAAGCGUGGGGAUCAAACAGGAUUAGAUACCCCUGUAGUC